RNAcentral lists this long non-coding RNA (5364 nucleotides) under Triticum aestivum (bread wheat). Its description in RNAcentral is "long non-coding RNA (TAES_LNC023759)". The stretch from base 561 to 647 matches the Rfam family "MIR1120/MIR1122 microRNA precursor family". Lineage: Eukaryota; Viridiplantae; Streptophyta; Magnoliopsida; Poales; Poaceae. The record is from RNAcentral.
GACAUCAAUCCUUCAACAUGAGCUUGGGAAGCAGAGUCUAUGAGUUACAACCGUUUCACUAGCAGACACCAUCUCAUUGAGUAGAGAUGACUGAGUAUAAUCGAAUCAAGCUCGAACAAAACAAAACCUCGAGUAACAAAAUAGAUUGGCCGGAAGUGUUUCUCAGCGUCUUAUUCAGAGUACAUGUCAAGCGCACUUCUACAAGAAGGCUGGAAAUUUUUGUGGCGGCCUCGGAUUCUAGUAGUUGCUGGUGUAGAAUUUCUUCAGGAACUCGGAGCUCCCCUGGUCCUUUUCCAGGUCCUGCACCAGCCCCUUGUGGCCAACCACGUAUUGCCCGAUGAUGUGGUGGCGCUGCUUCGCGUGCUCGGUGAUGUUGUUCAGCUCCUCCAUCCCGUUGAAGAGAAGCAUAUCAAUGACCUGUUUGUUCGCACGCAAGUCAGCACAAAUCAGCAGAGAUGUACACUAAGAUUGAGGGAGAUAGAAAUGCUUUUCUGGCAUUGUGGUGCCAUUACAGUGAUAUAAGAAUGGCUGCUAGAUGUUUCAGAGGCUAGUGCUAGAUUCUACUCCCUCUGUAAAGAAAUAUAAGAGUGUUUAGAUCACUAAAAUAGUGAUCUAAACGCUCUUAUAUUUAUUAACGGAGGGAGUAUAAUGCAGACCACAAAUGGUACGGAAUAGAAAUAUUGAAGUGUGUUGACAAGCACUCUAGCAAAGGGCAAAAUUAAGGUGUUCAAUAAGAAAGUGCAGACUGAAGUUUCUGCAAACACAGAUAAUAUCACUUCGUAUCACCAAGAUGGCAGAAUUUUUGUUAUAUUGAAAAAUUGAAUACAUAUUUUAUCGAUCCUUCCUACUCAAUCCCCGAGUCUGCCGGAAUAUAAAAAACAAUAAAGAAUUAUCCUAAUCUAAAUGCCUACUCACUAAACUGAAAUUAAUUUAGAAUGUUGAGUGCAAGGUUCAGGCGAGGAACCAAAUCCUAUUCAAUGCCAAUUCCACCUAAAGUCAGCACAUGCUACUUGUCGAAAGGAGAGGCAAAAAGAUAGCGAAGUAAAAUAGGCCUAAAGGAUAGCAAAACAAAAUUGUUACGGAUCGAAUAUGAGUGCUGGGAAUCAGACUUGAGCACUCUUACUCAAUAAAACCGGUCAAGCCCAGUAAGCGGAAAUAUGAUCUAGUUACAACUCCAGCUAAAUCUCAGAAAAUUACGUACAAACAUUUUCCAUCGCAAUUGCACACAGCUGAUAGCAAGUUGGCAUUAAACAAUCUCCGUUUGAUGAAGUUCGCAGUAUUGUACAUCCAAAUGGACUAAUUGACAGCUUCUAGUGAAAGCAAUAAAAAAAUGAUUAAAUUAUUACACUAUCAUCUAGAAAUUAUAACACUUGGCUAGCAGACAACUUGGUUGUCUGUCCACGGGGCCAUAGUUGCCAUGAACCCGGGUAGACCUCCAAAGUCAGGAGUAAAAUAAUUAGGACUGAAACUCUAGCUGGUGAAUAUAUCUUCAAGAAUGACAAUUUAACCCAAUUCUUCGGUUUCUCCAAGUUACCAGUGAUAUGAUUAAGCAAGAGGAUAAUCAAGUUAGUUGACUUGUUACAAAAUAUGAAUCUACCUUGAGACUCAAGCUUAACUUGCAACCAACAUUGUGUAGUUGUGAAUGCUAUAUUUUUUGACUGAAAUUUGUGUAUGAUAAAGUAUGUAUAUCUUACUCCAUCAUGUCUUAUACUCAUACAAAUCCAGAUUGAUAUGUCAAUUAUUUCUUGUAGUAAACAGGUAUAAUGCUUUUGUUACAUGAUUAACUACUGCUAUAUUUGGAAGCCACUAUAAUUUCAUUUCAAAUGAUACAUUUGUUUUCUUCUGAUAUAACUUAAAGAGUUAUAUCCUCUAUCGAAGUAUCCUCACAUCAUAAGGUAGCUCAUAGAGACUAGAGGCUGGAAAUUUACGGAACCUAUAUUUCAUCGUUUACACUGCCCGUGAUACUACUCUGGAACCUGGAGGCACCAAAUAUUGGUCUACGUUUUGUUUUGGCUUAGAAGGUAUGAACAAAUUGUGUGGUUCCUGUUAUCUAUUGGUGGUCAAUAAUGCCAAUCAAUUUAGGAGGAUACUGGUCUAAUUUAAGGUUAACUGUUUUUUCCCCACCAGAUCUAGAACCACACUGUAUAACUAUGCCUAACUACUUACAUACCAGUGGUGAAGCAUAUAAUGAAAUUUGGCAUCUAUUCUUGCGCAGAAGCAGCAACAGAACACAAUUAAAUAAUUGAAUACAAUACAUAAGGACCUUCCUAAUUCCACAAUGGGUAAUCAACCGCAAAAACAUCGAGUUGCCAUAUAUUACAAAGAAGCAGCUAGGAACCGGGUUCUUAGCAGCAUAUAAACAAGUGCAGAUAAGCACUUUACGGACGUUGUAGCCUCUGGCUAAUCCAGAAAUCCAGGGCAGUGAGCACCUUCAUGCAAAACGGCCGACCCAUAGGUGGACAAAAUACUACCUACAGAGCCUCGUUGCUAGUCCUGGAAGGGCAGGGUUGCCACACUGCAGUCAAGUGCCACUAGAAACAAGGAGUUGUCAGCCCGUAAUCCUGCGAAAAUUGCCAGCAAGGUCAACUGCUACCUAUCCAUCCAACAAGGCGUACCGAUUAUGCAUCGGCGAUUCCCAGUCCCCCAAAGAAACAUACAUCAGAUUUGCGCAGAGAGCGCGUCCCCCAAAGAAGGAUCGGACAGCGACUGGAUCGAAGAGGACGACAACGCGUUCGCUCUUCGUUCUACAUCUAUCCAUUUGCGAGGGGCGGAUCGAAAUGGGGUGGGAAAAGGGGCACCUUGGGGUCGGAGACGCCCUGGUUCUUCCGGAUCUGCUGGGAGAUGCUGGCGCGGAGCUGGGCGGGGGUCACGACGUCGUCGAGGUUGUAGAUCUCCAUGAUGGAGGGGAUGGCGCGGCAGGCCUGCCUGAAGAAGUCGAACACGCGGUGCCGCGCCUCCCCCAUCGACGCCGAGUUCGGCGGAACCUUCACCGCGCGCAUGGUGAACGCCAUCUCUUCGCCCUGACCCCGCUUCGCCUCGUAUGUCCGGCCCCCGCCCUCUCGCUCGCCGCCGCCCUCUCGCUCGCCGCCCGUCCUCAGGUGGCUCCUCCGCUUGGUGGUGGUGGUGAGAUGAGAGGUAGCUCGGUGCUCUCCGCUUGGGCAAAUGUUCUCCUGUCGAUAGCGGGCCGUCCGCGUCUACCUCGAGAUGGAGAUGGGCCGCGUGAGCACUGGGGCCUUGAAGGCGACCAGGACAAGACUAAAGGCCCAAUUAGCUUUCACAGCCAGCAACACUCACUUUUUUUUUUUGAAUGCCAACCCCAGCAACGCUCACUCUUUGCCUUCGAGUAAACUUACCAACUUCUCAGAAAAUUUACUACUACAUCCCAGGGGUACCAGAUUUUAGUACAUGACCAACAGAGAAUUCGACGAUUGUGAAUGAACAGUUGUAGAAGUACCUAAGGUAACGUUUUCGUGGCAUUUCCUCGAUCUCUUCUCUCACCAAAAUUGUGAAACUUUUGCAAGUGAACCAAUAAUUUAGGGCCGGUUUCGGGGUUGUUCCACUCUCAAAAUUACAAGCCAAAUGGAGUGGAUUCACUAUGCCUUGCUUUGAAAAAAAUACUCAAAUUUGGGGUUAACUUCGUGUUUUUUGUGAAGCUCCUCGAGGGUGGGGGACUCCAAAAACUCUAGUUUGAAGAGUCCUCGUGGAGUUGAGAAAAAAUUACCCACCACGGACCCAUAAGUGGAUAACAAUUCGUUCUUCUCCCCAUCAUGCAAGCAACCCCUCUUCCUCCUCGCCUGUUCGACCCCUUCCUCACUCAUGCACAAAAGCGCCCCCCCCCCCUAGCGGCACCACCACCGUGAAAUCGGGCUGCCAGGAGGUCGGCCCCGAUGAGGUAACCGACAGAAUGAGUAAAAUGCACAGAACCACCACUUUAGCGCCAUGGCUCUCGUAAAAUCAUCAUUUUACAAAACGUGACACUUUGCACCGCACCGGAAUUUUGACAGUGGCAAAAAACAUUGAACCCAAAAAUGAUCUUGUUUUGACGUGGCCAAUCGCGCGUGGGCCAACGUCAGGGGACGGCGCGCCGCUAACGGCCGUUCGGCCGUGGCAGAUGCGGGCGGGUCGACGCGCUGGCUGGCUGGCUGGCUCGUUCGCCCCGUAGCCAGUCGGUUAGUGGGUCCGUUCGUUAUUUUCAGCAACCGUUGGUCAUUCGCAUUGUCGCCUUGGUCGUUUGGUUUCACAUUGAAUCCAUAAACCCUCAGUCUUCGCUCCUCCCCGCAUUGAGUGCAUGUCACUUCGCUCGCACGGAAAACCACCACCGCUACUCUCUCCCAUCCUCUCGCCCCUAUCCUCUCACCAUCCACCACCCACCACUCACCGUCGAUGCGGCCACCCUUGCUGAUGUCGAAGUCGAAGCUGAUGUGUAGUUGGGAGAGGGUCGUAGACAACUGGGCCGGCGAUGACUCAACCAAGAAGGCCAUCGGCAGGGACCUCGCCGAGCGGUUCAAGAGCGUGCCCGCACUAGUCAACCACGCUAGUGGUCUCUUGCCGGUGUUCACCGAUGACGGGGGUAUAUGCGUCCUCGUGUGGUGCAUGUUUGAGUCGAUGUCCAGCGAUGCCUGAUAACGCAAUCGCUGGAUCAUGUAUCGGCCGCUGAAAAGCAGGUUUUCGGUAGAUCCAACAGAAGCGGACGUGCUGGUCAAGGUGGGCUUGUCGGACCGUGUCGACAACGAGUACAAAGUCCUCGUCCACAACCCCCCCCCCCCCAUGGCACAUCUCGUUAUUUCCAUUGACAGUGAGGAGCCGAAGGUGCAAGUCGUCGCUUGCCCUUGCGGUGCAUGGGCGGCCGUCGACAGAGAGAGGCAGAAGCCAAUCGACGUGGAGGUGAUGCCCGACGUGGAGGUACCUAUGAAGCUGGAGGAGCAGGAGCAGAAGCAGCCAGAGGAGGUGGAGCCCUUGGUGCAGAAGUAGAAGAAGGAGAGGAAGCCUCCUCUUUGACACUCUGCUCGCCUCACUGCUGCACGGCCGGUGCCUGCUACUUGUGAACUGCAUUGCAUUUAUUCCCUAAAGAGGAAGGGAGAUGCAGUAUAGUAGAGAUAAGUAUUUCCCUCAGUUAAGAACCAAGGUUAUCAAUCCAGUAGGAGAACCACACAAUUACUUAGUGAACAACACCUGCACGCACGAACCAAAUACUCAUAGCAACGCUUGCAAGAGGGUUGCCAAUCCUCUAGUACUAGUUAAUGCAAGGAUAAAAUCUAGUAUUGGUGAAAGAUAAAUUACUAAACUAAAUAAAUUGCAGCAAAGUAUUUUUUAGUAUGAUAAAGGCAAGACCCGGGGGCCAUAGUUUUCACUAGAGGCUUCUCU